Caenorhabditis elegans is the source of this 215-nucleotide non-coding RNA. Lineage: Eukaryota; Metazoa; Nematoda; Chromadorea; Rhabditida; Rhabditidae. The record is from Ensembl.
AAAAAGAUGAUCAAAUCUACUUGACCGACAAGUAGCUCGACACGGUAAGCGUUUGUUAAGAUUUAGAGAUUGUUUUCGACGCGCUUAGAUGAGUUCAGCUCCCGGGGGGCCACUUCGAGAGCACGCAACUCGGGGAGGGUGCGCAGGAUGACGGUCUCGGCGUGUUUGUUGACCGCCGGUAGGCUUUCUUAUCACUACAGUUAACUUCCGUCUCU